GCUAACUACGUGCCAGCAGCCGCGGUAAUACGUAGGGUGCAAGCGUUAAUCGGAAUUACUGGGCGUAAAGGGUGCGCAGGCGGUUCGGAAAGAAGGAUGUGAAAUCCCAGGGCUCAACCUUGGAAUGGCAUUCUUAACUACCGGGCUAGAGUGUGUCAGAGGGGGGUGGAAUUCCGCGUGUAGCAGUGAAAUGCGUAGAGAUGCGGAGGAACACCGAUGGCGAAGGCAGCCCCCUGGGAUAACACUGACGCUCAGGCACGAAAGCGUGGGUAGCAAACAGGAUUAGAUACCCUUGUAGUC
This 300-nucleotide ribosomal RNA is filed under the name uncultured Kerstersia sp. RNAcentral describes it as "bacterial SSU rRNA". It matches the Rfam family "Bacterial small subunit ribosomal RNA", at positions 496 to 795 of the family's 1533-position model. Lineage: Bacteria; Pseudomonadati; Pseudomonadota; Betaproteobacteria; Burkholderiales; Alcaligenaceae. The record is from RNAcentral.